Molecule: non-coding RNA, 3172 nt
Organism: Tetranychus urticae (two-spotted spider mite)
Lineage: Eukaryota; Metazoa; Arthropoda; Arachnida; Trombidiformes; Tetranychidae
Source: RefSeq, a predicted model, not a curated record
UGAAGGCGGUUACGCCAUGUUGCUUAACAUGAGUCAAUGGGUUAAUGAUAUUUCUGGUUAAACAGUUAUUUUUGAUUUUUAAUCAAUUUCAAUUUGCUUUUUAUAUGUUUAAUCAACAGUUAAAUAACCUAGUUCCAUCACAGUGAAAACAAUUUACUCGUCAGUAUUGAUUAAUCGUUAAAUCUGGAUCUAAAAAAUCACCAUUAUUUAAACCUUUAGCUUUCAUCAACUUUACCCAUUCAAGGUUUACUGAUCUCUCUAAUUACUGCUAAAUCAUCAAACUCAAAUCAGUUUUUUGUUGUUGCUGGUUUUUUAUGCUUCCCUUUCAAGCUCAAGGCUCGCCUUUUGAUCUUCAUCAUACAUCUUUGUCGUUUCUUAAUAUUUUGGCUUCACAUCUACAUCAUAAUAUUCAACAUGUAAGGUUACAAUCACAAAUGGUUCCUAGUUGUUGUUACCUUGACUGUGAAGUACAAUUGGAGUUGCAAUUAAACUGGCGAGCAAUUAAACAGACUCGAAGUUAGCCAACCAUUCAACACUUAAAUCAUUGAUUCAACCAGAGAAAUAAUCUUUCCGUUCAUUUGAUGCUUUCACUUUCUGAUAACUUUAAAUUUCAGAAUCACUCAUUUAAUGGCUGAACAUGAAUCUUGGUUAUUCACUUUACCCUAAAACUCCAAGUUGCUCAUCACUGAAGUUCAUUCUUGAAUCGCCCUUUUGUCCUGUUGAUACCAUCACUUGAAAAGGAUAUUGAUAAUUAUUGGAGCUCAAUAGAGCUGAGAUGAAUACGAGUGAACCCAAAAUUGAAAAUCAUUGACACAAAAGUAACUCAAUCAUAACCUCAUGAGUUUUAUUAGUGAUUCAAUCUGAUGACCAAUUUGAACCAGACUCAUCAUCAAUAUUUCAUGAAUUAUCAAGUCUUGGAUGGGAAGUUGUUCAGUGAAGGUUAAUUUUCUGACAAUUUUACUUUUUUUUGUUCCUUCAACUGUCAUGACGUUUAAGAUGAUGAGAAUGGUUAGGACAAAACCAUUUGAAUCCAUUAUUACCGAAUGAUAAAUGGACACUUUGGUCAACAAUUGAAAGUACGAGUUGAUUGAAGUUUAAUGUUCAACCAAAUGAUAACUCUUUUUUUUAAGAUAAUGAUGAGGAUGACAAUGAUUUAACAAUUGAAUCCGCGAAAUGCAUUGAAACCUAAUUGAACAUGAUGAGGAGGAGAAGGUAAAAAAAGAGUUUACGGUUGAUUGUAUUUUCAAAGUUGAAUUACUGAUUAAUCUAAACUCGGUUGAUUGUACAGUGGUUCAUCAUCAUCAGUCUAGUGAAAGUAAGAAUCGUAGUUCCGUUUAAAGCAUAAACCGUGAAAAAGAUGAUGAAAAAAGAGUUGAAAGAGUGAAAAGACAGCAAGAAAAUUACAUGAAAAUAAACGGUACAAUAGCAAUUACAGUCUCUUUGGAAGAAAAUUGUUUCACAAUUAGCUAAUUUCGCCCAGGAAUUUAUCUGCCUUUCAUGAUAAUAAUGGUAAUAAAUAAUAAGUUAACCUUUUUUUGCUCUUAAAAGAUGAACAAGUCUAUCAAAAUACCAAUUGAAUGAUAGUGGUUAAGGUUGCUCUGAAUUAUUUAACUGUAAGAUUGAUGGAGCCAAAUUUAGACAAUCAUAGUUGUAAAAAUUUAAUAUCGAUUGUUGAACAUUAACUUUAACCAUUUAUCCGGACAAUUAAUUUCCUCUACUCUGGACCUUCUUUAUUGUUGAACAUUUUGUCUAAAGUUAAGGUGAAAAAUGAUGAAUUUACAAAGUGUAAUCCAAACUGGUUAAGGAUGGAGAGGUUAACACACCAUGAAGAAAAGAAACAAAAAGUGCACUAAUUAACAAAGGUAAUGUAAUUAGCAAUGUUGGCAGUGUAAAGCUUGAGGAACAAGAUUAAGCACAAAGGUCUUGAAGGUCUUGGAGUCUCAUUUUUAAGCAUCACAACGUGAUAUUGAUGAUCAUUAUCGUUCAAUUUGAUUGCCAAGGGGAAGUAAAAUGGUAUCGCGAAAGCACCCAAAGAAUGAUGAUGAUGAUGAUGGUUAUGGAGUCCCGUGAAAGGUUUCAUCAAAAAACAUCAAUCAAAUAGUGAAGCGGCAACGUCGAAAAAUUGGCACACUUCGAUCAUUAAUUUUUUUCUCUAAUUUUUUCAGAUGGAAAUAAAUUUAAUGGAAAUAUCGAUCCAAUCACGCAACUUGGCGAAAAAUCUGUCGAGUGGUUCAUAAGUGAUUCCUCCUCAAAGUUAAUGAUUGAUCAAUGGGAAGAGGAAGGAACUCGAGAUGAAAAGCUAAAUUCUGUGGCUAUUUUCAGAUGUCUACAUGUUGACCUGCGAUGAGUACAUUUUAUCUUUCGUUGGUUGAGACAAUUUACGGCAAUUAAAUCCAUUUCAUAAAAUGUAAUUUCCGUUUCCAUUCGUAUCAGUUCAAGGGUUUAAAGAACACGAAUUAUCCGGCGAAAGAACAUUUGUUUUCGGAAAAAUCCAGGAAAUUUGAAUACAUUAUUGAUUAGAAAACAAUUGCAAGUUAUAUUAGUUAAUCAGAAUGAAGGAUGGAAAAAGAAUUAUCUUUUUCCUAUGAAUAAAGGAAGAAACAUUAUUUGUUAAUCUGUUUCUGUGUGAAAUAUGCUGUUAUGAUGAUACUUUGAUUGGCAAAAUUUACCGAUUGAACUCAUGUUAAAUGUUUAAGCUUGACUGAUUUACCAUGUAAAUUACCACAAAUCAACCAUUAAAAUAAAAAGAGUUGAUGGUGAUGAUGAUGAUGAUAGCUUGUUUCGCAUCAUCAAACUUACGGAAUCUAAAUGAAUAAACUGUCAACAGGCAAAGAAAGGUUUUAAUCCUUUUUACACCUCAAUAUUCACAAAAUUGGAUAAUCAUCCAAGCGCCAGGUUAAUCGAUCAUCACCAGCACCAGCCUCAUCAUUAUCACCAUCAAUGGAAAUGGUUCCCAUUUGGUGUAAAAACUGAAUCCAUCAAUUGUCAUUGAAAUUGAACCUUUAACAAUUUCAACUUCACUUUCAUCAUUCAACGCUUUAUGGAGUUGAAAAUUGUAAAAAUGGAUUCAACUUCCCAUGAAGGAUAAAUUUCACAUUCAAAAAAAUCUCUCGCACAACAUAUUAAUAUGAAUAAUUAUUUACAAUUAAAGGUUUCACUUUAACUCAAUUAA